Molecule: long non-coding RNA, 462 nt
Organism: Bos taurus (domestic cattle)
Lineage: Eukaryota; Metazoa; Chordata; Mammalia; Artiodactyla; Bovidae
Source: Ensembl
AUGAGGGCGGGGCCUGAGGGCGCUGUGUGGAGGGGAGGAGCCUGGAGGACAGACCCAGGGAGCUGGGAGUCUGGAUCUUCACUUCGGGGCAAGUUGGGAGGACGUCUGCCUCGGUGGAGUUUUGUUGGGUCACAGUCGUGCUCGUUCAUUUGCAUGUUGUCUGCAACCGCUGCUGAGCGACAACCGUGGACCUGCGAGGAAGACCACACGGCCUGCAAAGCCUGAAAUGCGUGCUGUCUGACCUGUCACGAGAGAAGUCUGCAAACCCCUGCUUUAUACGGUCAUAUCUUUUAAAGCAGUUAAAAGAUGGAAUGAGUAACUUGCUUUGACCAAAUCUGCGAAGUUUACCUCCUCGAUCCGUGCACCUCCAUCCCGGCUCACUGCUUUCAGACCCGGUCUCGAUGCCUCCCCAGCUCAGUGACUGUGGGUCCUCCCCUGACCUUUGCUUGUGCUCCCAGACCC